RNAcentral lists this ribosomal RNA (492 nucleotides) under uncultured bacterium. RNAcentral describes it as "partial 16S ribosomal RNA". It matches the Rfam family "Bacterial small subunit ribosomal RNA", at positions 29 to 507 of the family's 1533-position model. The record is from RNAcentral.
AGUGAACGCUGGCGGUAGGCCUAACACAUGCAAGUCGAACGGCAGCACAGUAAGAGCUUGCUCUUACGGGUGGCGAGUGGCGGACGGGUGAGGAAUACAUCGGAAUCUACUUUUUCGUGGGGGAUAACGUAGGGAAACUUACGCUAAUACCGCAUACGACCUACGGGUGAAAGCAGGGGAUCUUCGGACCUUGCGCGAUUGAAUGAGCCGAUGUCGGAUUAGCUAGUUGGCGGGGUAAAGGCCCACCAAGGCGACGAUCCGUAGCUGGUCUGAGAGGAUGAUCAGCCACACUGGAACUGAGACACGGUCCAGACUCCUACGGGAGGCAGCAGUGGGGAAUAUUGGACAAUGGGCGAAAGCCUGAUCCAGCAAUACCGCGUGGGUGAAGAAGGCCUUCGGGUUGUAAAGCCCUUUUGUUGGGAAAGAAAAGCAGCAGGUUAAUACCCCGAUGUUCUGACGGUACCCAAAGAAUAAGCACCGGCUAACUUCGUG